RNAcentral lists this ribosomal RNA (497 nucleotides) under uncultured bacterium. Its description in RNAcentral is "partial 16S ribosomal RNA". It matches the Rfam family "Bacterial small subunit ribosomal RNA", at positions 28 to 507 of the family's 1533-position model. The record is from RNAcentral.
GAUGAACGCUGGCGGCGUGCCUAAUACAUGCAAGUCGAGCGAACGGACGAGAAGCUUGCUUCUCUGAUGUUAGCGGCGGACGGGUGAGUAACACGUGGAUAACCUACCUAUAAGACUGGGAUAAUUUCGGGAAACCGGAGCUAAUCCCGGAUAAUAUUUUGAACCGCAUGGUUCAAAAGUGAAAGACGGUCUUGCUGUCACUACUAGAUGGAUCCGCGCUGCAUUAGCUAGUUGGUAAGGUAACGGCUUAUCAAGGAAAGGAUGCAUAACCGACCUGAGAGGGUGAUCGGCCACACUGGAACUGAGACACGGUCCAGACUCCUACGGGAGGCAGCAGUAGGGAAUCUUCCGCAAUGGGCGAAAGCCUGACGGAGCAACGCCGCGUGAGUUAUGAAGGUCUUCGGAUCGUAAAACUCUGUUAUUAGUUAAGAACAUAUGUGUAAUUAACUGUGCACAUCUUGACGGUACCUAAUCAGAAAGCCACGGCUAACUACGUG